Molecule: ribosomal RNA, 253 nt
Filed under: uncultured bacterium
Lineage: Bacteria
Description: partial 16S ribosomal RNA
Rfam family: Bacterial small subunit ribosomal RNA
Source: RNAcentral
UACGAAGGGGGCUAGCGUUGCUCGGAAUCACUGGGCGUAAAGGGUGCGUAGGCGGGUCUUUAAGUCAGGGGUGAAAUCCUGGAGCUCAACUCCAGAACUGCCUUUGAUACUGAAGAUCUUGAGUUCGGGAGAGGUGAGUGGAACUGCGAGUGUAGAGGUGAAAUUCGUAGAUAUUCGCAAGAACACCAGUGGCGAAGGCGGCUCACUGGCCCGAUACUGACGCUGAGGCACGAAAUCGUGGGGAGCAAACAGG